CGGAGGAAAAGAAACCAACAGGGAUUGCUCUAGUAACGGCGAGUGAAGCAGCAAUAGCUCAAAUUUGAAAUCUGGCGUCUUCGACGUCCGAGUUGUAAUUUGUAGAGGAUGCUUCUGAGUAACCACCGACCUAAGUUCCUUGGAACAGGACGUCAUAGAGGGUGAGAAUCCCGUAUGCGGUCGGAAAGGUGCUCUAUACGUAGCUCCUUCGACGAGUCGAGUUGUUUGGGAAUGCAGCUCUAAAUGGGAGGUAAAUUUCUUCUAAAGCUAAAUAUUGGCCAGAGACCGAUAGCGCACAAGUAGAGUGAUCGAAAGAUGAAAAGCACUUUGGAAAGAGAGUUAAAAAGCACGUGAAAUUGUUAAAAGGGAAGGGAUUGCAACCAGACUUGCUCGCGGUGUUCCGCCGGUCUUCUGACCGGUCUACUCGCCGCGUUGCAGGCCAGCAUCGUCUGGUGCCGCUGGAUAAGACUUGAGGAAUGUAGCUCCCUCGGGAGUGUUAUAGCCUCUUGUGAUGCAGCGAGCGCCGGGCGAGGUCCGCGCUUCGGCUAGGAUGCUGGCGUAAUGGUCGUAAUCCGCCCGUCUUGAAACACGGACCAAGGAGUCUAACAUCUAUGCGAGUGUUCGGGUGUCAAACCCCUACGCGUAAUGAAAGUGAACGGAGGUGAGAACCGCAAGGUGCAUCAUCGACCGAUCCUGAUGUCUUCGGAUGGAUUUGAGUAAGAGCAUAGCUGUUGGGACCCGAAAGAUGGUGAACUAUGCCUGAAUAGGGUGAAGCCAGAGGAAACUCUGGUGGAGGCUCGCAGCGGUUCUGACGUGCAAAUCGAUCGUCAAAUUUGGGUAUAGGGGCGAAAGACUAAUC
RNAcentral lists this ribosomal RNA (859 nucleotides) under Cladosporium sp. CPC 15516. Its description in RNAcentral is "eukaryotic LSU rRNA". It matches the Rfam family "Eukaryotic large subunit ribosomal RNA", at positions 51 to 936 of the family's 3401-position model. Lineage: Eukaryota; Fungi; Ascomycota; Dothideomycetes; Cladosporiales; Cladosporiaceae. The record is from RNAcentral.